GAUGAAGAACGUAGCGAAAUGCGAUAAGUAGUGUGAAUUGCAGAAUUCAGUGAAUCAUCGAAUCUUUGAACGCACCUUGCGCCCUUUGGUAUUCCGAUGGGCAUGCCUGUUCGAGUGUCUUGAAUUCAUCGCCGCCUCCGGUUUCGCGACCGGCCAGGCGCGCGGACUUGGGGGCCUGCCGCGGCGACGCGGCUCCCCUCGAAUGCAUCGGUGGGGUCUCCGAGCACCCACGGGCGUUGUAUUGUCCUCGUCCGACCGGGCCUCGCGUCCCCCGCCCCGACCUGCCGUUUGAGCGGCGGUCAAGCGACACUUUGAAAUCUGACCUCAAAUCAGGUAGGACUACCCGCUGAACUUAAGCAUAUCAAUAAGCGGAGGA
Molecule: unclassified non-coding RNA, 376 nt
Filed under: soil metagenome
Description: partial contains 5.8S ribosomal RNA, internal transcribed spacer 2, and large subunit ribosomal RNA
Rfam family: 5.8S ribosomal RNA (bases 1-120)
Source: RNAcentral